UUAAACCUCAGGUCAGGCGGGA
This 22-nucleotide ribosomal RNA is filed under the name Canavalia boliviana. RNAcentral describes it as "partial large subunit ribosomal RNA". The record is from RNAcentral. Lineage: Eukaryota; Viridiplantae; Streptophyta; Magnoliopsida; Fabales; Fabaceae.